UGGGGAAUAUUGGGCAAUGGACGCAAGUCUGACCCAGCGACGCCGCGUGCGGGAUGAAGGCCUUCGGGUUGUAAACCGCUUUCAGCAGGGAAGAAGCGAAAGUGACGGUACCUGCAAAAGAAGCACCGGCUAACUAUGUGCCAGCAGCCGCGGUAAUACAUAGGGUGCAAGCGUUGUCCGGAAUUAUUGGGCGUAAAGGGCGCGUAGGCGGUUUUUUAAGUCAGAUGUGCAAUCCCCGAGCUCAACUUGGGAACUGCAUCUGAGACUGGAAGGCUAGAGUACUGGAGAGGGUGGUGGAAUUCCUCGUGUAGCGGUGAAAUGCGUAGAGAUCGGAAGGAACAUCAGUGGCGAAGGCGGCUACCUGGACAAAUACUGACACUGAGGCACGAGAGCGUGGGGAGCAAACAGG
Molecule: ribosomal RNA, 409 nt
Filed under: uncultured bacterium
Lineage: Bacteria
Description: bacterial SSU rRNA
Rfam family: Bacterial small subunit ribosomal RNA
Source: RNAcentral